GCUUUCGUGGUGUAAUGGUCAGCACACUGAGCCGGUAUUUCAGAGGUCCGCGGUUCGAUCCCCGGCGAAGGCA
This 73-nucleotide transfer RNA is filed under the name Stegodyphus mimosarum. It matches the Rfam family "tRNA". From Rfam's summary of the family: Transfer RNA (tRNA) molecules are approximately 80 nucleotides in length. Their secondary structure includes four short double-helical elements and three loops (D, anti-codon, and T loops). Further hydrogen bonds mediate the characteristic L-shaped molecular structure. tRNAs have two regions of fundamental functional importance: the anti-codon, which is responsible for specific mRNA codon recognition, and the 3' end, to which the tRNAs corresponding amino acid is attached (by aminoacyl-tRNA synthetases). tRNAs cope with the degeneracy of the genetic code in two manners: having more than one tRNA (with a specific anti-codon) for a particular amino acid; and 'wobble' base-pairing, i.e. permitting non-standard base-pairing at the 3rd anti-codon position. The record is from Rfam by way of RNAcentral. Lineage: Eukaryota; Metazoa; Arthropoda; Arachnida; Araneae; Eresidae.